AGCUACGGCCAUACCACCCUGAAUGCGCCCGAUCUGGUCUGAUCUCGGAAGCUUAGCUGGGUGGGGCCGUUUAGUAUUUGGAUGGGAAACCGCCUGGGAAUACCAGGCACUGUUGGCUU
Cercocebus atys (sooty mangabey) is the source of this 119-nucleotide ribosomal RNA. The record is from Ensembl. NCBI's taxonomy places the organism in Eukaryota, Metazoa, Chordata, Mammalia, Primates, Cercopithecidae.